GGGAGGAUGGCCGAGUGGUUUAAGGCGCUGUGUUUAGGACAGAACCUCGUGGGUUCGAAUCCCACUCCUCUCA
RNAcentral lists this transfer RNA (73 nucleotides) under Exophiala xenobiotica. RNAcentral describes it as "tRNA-Sup (TTA) (tRNA-Sup-TTA-1-1)". It matches the Rfam family "tRNA". From Rfam's summary of the family: Transfer RNA (tRNA) molecules are approximately 80 nucleotides in length. Their secondary structure includes four short double-helical elements and three loops (D, anti-codon, and T loops). Further hydrogen bonds mediate the characteristic L-shaped molecular structure. tRNAs have two regions of fundamental functional importance: the anti-codon, which is responsible for specific mRNA codon recognition, and the 3' end, to which the tRNAs corresponding amino acid is attached (by aminoacyl-tRNA synthetases). tRNAs cope with the degeneracy of the genetic code in two manners: having more than one tRNA (with a specific anti-codon) for a particular amino acid; and 'wobble' base-pairing, i.e. permitting non-standard base-pairing at the 3rd anti-codon position. The record is from RNAcentral. Lineage: Eukaryota; Fungi; Ascomycota; Eurotiomycetes; Chaetothyriales; Herpotrichiellaceae.